Molecule: ribosomal RNA, 347 nt
Filed under: uncultured bacterium
Lineage: Bacteria
Description: bacterial SSU rRNA
Rfam family: Bacterial small subunit ribosomal RNA
Source: RNAcentral
AGAGUUUGAUCAUGGCUCAGGAUGAACGCUAGCUACAGGCUUAACACAUGCAAGUCGAGGGGAAACGACAUCGAAAGCUUGCUUUUGAUGGGCGUCGACCGGCGCACGGGUGAGUAACGCGUAUCCAACCUGCCCAUCACUUGGGGAUAACCUUGCGAAAGUAAGACUAAUACCCAAUGACGUCUCUAGAAGACAUCUGAAAGAGAUUAAAGAUUUANCGGUGAUGGAUGGGGAUGCGUCUGAUUAGCUUGUGGCGGGUAACGCCACAAGGCGACGAUCAGUAGGGGUUCUGAGAGGAAGGUCCCCCAGAUUGGAACUGAGACACGGUCCAAACUCCUACGGGAGCA